GACGAACGCUGGCGGCGUGCUUAACACAUGCAAGUCGAACGGAAAGGCCCUGCUUUUGUGGGGUGCUCGAGUGGCGAACGGGUGAGUAACACGUGAGUAACCUGCCCUUGACUUUGGGAUAACUUCAGGAAACUGGGGCUAAUACCGGAUAGGAGCUACUGCUGCAUGGUGGGGGUUGGAAAGUUUCGGCGGUUGGGGAUGGACUCGCGGCUUAUCAGCUUGUUGGUGGGGUAGUGGCUUACCAAGGCUUUGACGGGUAGCCGGCCUGAGAGGGUGACCGGCCACAUUGGGACUGAGAUACGGCCCAGACUCCUACGGGAGGCAGCAGUGGGGAAUAUUGCACAAUGGGCGGAAGCCUGAUGCAGCAACGCCGCGUGCGGGAUGACGGCCUUCGGGUUGUAAACCGCUUUCGCCUGUGACGAAGCGUGAGUGACGGUAAUGGGUAAAGAAGCACCGGCUAACUACGCG
This 468-nucleotide ribosomal RNA is filed under the name uncultured bacterium. Its description in RNAcentral is "partial 16S ribosomal RNA". It matches the Rfam family "Bacterial small subunit ribosomal RNA", at positions 28 to 507 of the family's 1533-position model. The record is from RNAcentral.